CUCUUCUCCGUAUAAAGACUUGACCCCAAAACGCAAGUCGUAAAUCAGUGCCUUGCAGCAGAGCCUCAUGUUCAGAGAUUCCCUUGCCAGUCUUCUUACGUGCCCCAUUAGACUACUGCAGCCUUCAUUCAACUUUUCUGAAGAGACGUGUAGUCUCCUUACGUCCCCGACGUAAAUAAACCCCACUCGCAGUCUAGUAACAUAGCGUUGCAUCAGUACACAUGCACUCUUCGUACAGACGCAUCGAGGGCUGGUCAUGUUCUGUUUGUCCGCCUGUGUGAAUGUUUCAAUUCGAGAAAAGCUGUAAGGAUUCUAACGAAAAUUAGUUUGAACACGUAGGCAUAUUAUUCGAGGCUACCACGUAUUCAUAAUUCAAGCAAUAACAUCAACAUGAUAGUCGCACGAACUUCAGUGGUGGAAGAAACACUAGCAGCACUAAAUACACGAUGUAAUCUGAAACGGUGGACAUAUUUGUUUAAAAAUGUUCAACUUCUUUUACCUUCUUUCUUUUGAAAUGUAAAGAAAUAAAACGGCGGCUGCAUUAAACCUAUAUUUACUGCACUGCACUGUACUGUAGUAACAGGUGACAUUUUCGGUGUAUUUUAUGCAUAUUAGCUUAUACUAUGGUGUAAAUAUGAAUUAUAGACAUACUGUGUGUUUCUUCGUGAGUGAUAAUUUUUGCAAGAGGACACUGGAAAAUUGGAACAUUCGAAUUCAUCCAGACUUCUCGAGUUAACCACGAUUAAGGACAAGACUGCAGCGAACGGAUCUCUGUACCGUUCAACUAGAGACCGGAUUUUUCCUUCACCGAGUGAAAGACCAGGAUUUCUUCACCAGUUCAAAAGGAAACUUUUCAAGAAACGAAAGGAACGCCUAUGCUCAGAUGGAGAUGAAUGAUGACUAAAAUGUAGUAAAUGCCCAUUCAUACUAGAUGAAGAUGGGCUCUGGUUUGUUUUUCGGCGGCGAAGAAAACGUCCCAGACAGGAACCGAACUUCGACCGUAAGGUCAUAAAGCAAAUUCUCUCAUACGACGAUGCCAUUGUGCUUGUUGGCUAUAAGAAAGAUUUACGAUCCUCCGACAUAAAGUCUUAUCUUUUAUGAUAAUUAAAUGCUAGCGAUACGUGCUCAUAGACAAUAUGGACUUCGUAAUGUUUUACCCGCCAAUGAUAAUUAUUUCUUUUGUGUCCAAACCGAAAGAUCUUGUCCAGUGAUAUUCGUAUUGUUACCAUACAAAAGCCUUUGGAUUCGUCUCCUUGAAAGUUGCAGUGCAGUAACCGUCCAAAUCACAGGCUAAUACCAAAGUCCAGUCCAAAAUUGUAGUAACUUGCCGAGCAAAGUUUGUGUUACAAAGACGUUGAGAAGCUCUCUCUUCGAUCCCGCUUGAAGGGGUCUGAGGCACAACCAUGCAAUGGCGGAUAAGUAACGGCUGCCCGUGUGUGUAAUAGACUUCGCACCUAUAUCAAUUGUCAAGGAGCGAGGCUGCUUUCACAUCCUCUAGGUCGACGCAUCUAGGAGCGAAAUUAUUCCGUACUAAACGUAAUUUGUAACUAACUCCAUUGGGCAGGGUCCUUCACGAGAAACUACUGCUAUUCAGGUAGUCAAAAAAUUUCCUGAAAGUUCAUUAUCAUGUUUAAAAGAGCCUUCCACUUGUCCAAAUUCUGAGCUAGCUGAAUCAUGUUCACACCAUCCCCUUAUUUUCUGAAGACCAUUUUUUAUCCUCCCAUUUACGCCUAAGUCUUUCAAGCGAACCCUUUCCAUCAAGUCUUCUAAAUACUGGAGCGUAAUACCUUACACAUUGAUGUCAAUGCUGAAAUGUUCAAAGCUGCUAACACAAAAGCCUUCGAGAUCAAUGCAAGCUCCAUCCUUGAAGUACAUUUAGUAUUAGAGUUUCUUGUCGGGUUCCGAAUUCGGGAAGCAGUUUUCUAGUUGGUUUCCACGCCCAAACUCUCUAAGUAUUUCUAUUUCCCAUCCGUGCUACUAUCUCAGUCCGUCGAAAUUUUAUGAUGCUGCUAGUCUAUUCUUAUAAUGCAAGCAGGGAUAGUGACCCUCUUCACUUCCUGGUACCAUAAUUAAGUGUGAUGUUUCUACUAGCCAGCAUGAAGUCCAGUGGUGCCAACCCUACUCACUGUACCCUUACACCCUGACAAGACUUGGUGAAAUUGUUGCUGCUUCACAUUCUCUGCAGAGCGAUGUGGGUUUGCGAGGCGGCUCAGCUCCUUAACUCCUUAAUUUUAUAGGUUUACGUCUCAGAUGAAAAUGUUUGAUAAUAAGCGUUAUAAAAAUGGGUUUUGUUUCCUUGUAGCUACAGUUCUCCGUGCCACUAUAGCUCUCUCUGUUCGGAGUGUAGA
Long non-coding RNA from Cryptotermes secundus, 2348 nucleotides. RefSeq lists it as uncharacterized. NCBI's taxonomy places the organism in Eukaryota, Metazoa, Arthropoda, Insecta, Blattodea, Kalotermitidae. The record is from RefSeq and is a predicted model, not a curated record. The transcript is spliced from 3 exons.